This is a long non-coding RNA of Helianthus annuus (common sunflower), 1586 nucleotides long. RefSeq lists it as uncharacterized. The record is from RefSeq and is a predicted model, not a curated record. Lineage: Eukaryota; Viridiplantae; Streptophyta; Magnoliopsida; Asterales; Asteraceae. The transcript is spliced from 8 exons.
AGACCACUUUCUUUCCUAUUCCCUCUAAAAACCCUAGCCGACAACUUCAUCGCAUUCUUCAUUCUUCUUUGCCAAUCUGCCCUCUCAAUUCGAAGAUGAAGAUGAGCAUCAGUCUUGAUGUAAACUCCAUGGCGUCCAGGCAUGUUUCCUUCCUGAAUCUUGAAUUUGAUGUUUUUAUUUUUUUGAAUCUAAUUUCGUUUUUCUUUAAUUUGAUUUCUGGAACCCAACGAUGGCAACGAAGUCUUCCGUAUGUGUGAAGGCCGUAAUCAACGAUGGUGAUGGCGGCGCUGAGUGUUGACGUCGCUGAACCCUAAAUCACUGACGAAGUUCCAAGUUGGUGUUUUGGUUUCAUAUGGGGUUAGCGGCAAUGACGUUUUAGCUUCCGGUAGGUUUUCUGGUCAUCCAUUUACCUUCGAUUAGAUAUGGCAUUAUGCACGGGGACGAGACUAAUUAUGGUGGAAAGAUGCCCGAACUUUGAGACCGAGUAUGUGCAAUCCUCAAGUUUAGCCAACAGGGUUCAGGAAUUUUCUAUCUUUGAGAAUUUACGGGUCAUCAUUAUUGAAGAUAUGAUAUAUCUGAUAUGUGUCAAAGAGCUUGCAGAACUUAUUAAAUUAACGAAUACCAAAGAACUGGAAUUGCAUUUUGUUGAUCUUGAACAUGAUCCACUGAAGUGGCUGCAGUUGUAUACAUGGAUUGUAGAUUCAACUAACAACAUAUGUGGAUGGUGAGCUCAUAAAAAGUUGUUUAUGUCAAAAAUGAUAGGAAGUUCCACAAGGGCCUAAAGACUAAAGAGAGUCCUGAAGGACCAUGACAGUUCGUUGGGCUAAUGCCGCACUUUGUUCCUCCACGUCAUGAUAGGUUUAACACGAUUCAAAGGGCUUUGAAUCUUGGAGUUAAUGUUAAAAUGAUUACAGGAACCGGAUGGCAGUGGAAGGUGGUUCGGCAGGGCUAGGGAGACUAUGUAUUGGAGGUCGUUGGCACCAAACGUGGAGGAUUAUAGUGGGUCGGUGGCUAGGAUGAUUGCAGCCAAGUUGGGUUACUUGAUUAAAGGAAUGUUGUGGUGUGGGGAUGUGAUAGUUGAUAUGUUGAAGUGGGGGAAGGAGUUUUUUGAAGAAGAGGAUGAAAUCACGACAAAAGUCGGAAGUUAGUCCUAAAGCUUCGAUUAGAAUGAGAAGCCUGCUUGCUUUCUUCACACCAAAACCAGAGAUAACACCCAACAACCGUUCCACUGCUUCCCACAACCUCUCCCCAGAGGCGAAAUGUUACGGUUGCCGACCACGAUCAUCGCAGGUGUGCUUCGGCAAUUAGGGUUUCAGCCGUGAUGGUCACGGCUAGGAUUCUGGUGACCCUAGAUGGUGCGGUGGCGGUGGUGGUGGCGGUGGCGGUGGCGUAGACACGGUGGCACGACUGCUGGCGUGGCUGUGGUUUCUCUGGUUUCAGUUUUGACUUUCGUGAGUUUAAUUUACCAUUUAAUUAUUAUUGUUGUUUUGUUUGCGGUUUUUGUUGAUCUGAUACGUUGUGAUUAUAAGUUGUUAAUCAGUUGAUUUGUGUGAUUGUAAGGUUAAUUUUGUUGAGUUGAUGCGAAA